RNAcentral lists this ribosomal RNA (273 nucleotides) under uncultured bacterium. RNAcentral describes it as "partial 16S ribosomal RNA". It matches the Rfam family "Bacterial small subunit ribosomal RNA", at positions 523 to 796 of the family's 1533-position model. The record is from RNAcentral.
AUACGGAGGGUGCAAGCGUUACUCGGAAUCACUGGGCGUAAAGCGCGCGCAGGCGGCUAUUUAAGUUGGAUGUGAAAGCCUACGGCUCAACCGUAGAACUGCAUCCAAAACUAUUUAGCUAGAGUGUGGGAGAGGAAGAUGGAAUUAGUUGUGUAGGGGUAAAUCCGUAGAGAUAACUAGGAAUACCAAAAGCGAAGGCAAUCUUCUGGAACACUACUGACGCUGAGGCGCGAAAGCGUGGGGAGCAAACGGGAUUAGAUACCCUUGUAGUCC